Molecule: ribosomal RNA, 497 nt
Filed under: uncultured bacterium
Lineage: Bacteria
Description: partial 16S ribosomal RNA
Rfam family: Bacterial small subunit ribosomal RNA
Source: RNAcentral
GAUGAACGCUGGCGGCGUGUCUAAUACAUGCAAGUCGAGCGAACGGACGAGAAGCUUGCUUUUCUGAUGUUAGCGGCGGACGGGUGAGUAACACGUGGAUAACCUACCUAUAAGACUGGGAUAACUUCGGGAAACCGGAGCUAAUACCGGAUAAUAUUUUGAACCGCAUGGUUCAAAAGUGAAAGACGGUCUUGCUGUCACUUAUAGAUGGAUCCGCGCUGCAUUAGCUAGUUGGUAAGGUAACGGCUUACCAAGGCAACGAUGCAUAGCCGACCUGAGAGGGUGAUCGGCCACACUGGAACUGAGACACGGUCCAGACUCCUACGGGAGGCAGCAGUAGGGAAUCUUCCGCAAUGGGCGAAAGCCUGACGGAGCAACGCCGCGUGAGUGAUGAAGGUCUUCGGAUCGUAAAACUCUGUUAUUAGGGAAGAACAUAUGUGUAAGUAACUGUGCACAUCUUGACGGUACCUAAUCAGAAAGCCACGGCUAACUACGUG